AAGCGUUCUCAGGGCGGGGCGAAAUUCCCCACCGGCGGUGAUGGCGGCUUGUAACCACAAGACCGCACGAGUGCCGCGAGCGCCCGCAUGGUGCAAAGCCGAGCGGGGUCAGCAGACCCGGUGAGAUCCCGGGACCGACGGUCAGAGUCCGGAUGAUAGAGAGCGCGA
This 168-nucleotide non-coding RNA is filed under the name Hydrogenophaga crassostreae. RNAcentral describes it as "FMN riboswitch aptamer (RFN element)". It matches the Rfam family "FMN riboswitch aptamer (RFN element)". Rfam says of the family: The RFN element is a highly conserved domain that is found frequently in the 5'-untranslated regions of prokaryotic mRNAs that encode for flavin mononucleotide (FMN) biosynthesis and transport proteins. This element is a metabolite-dependent riboswitch that directly binds FMN in the absence of proteins. The record is from Rfam by way of RNAcentral. RNAcentral also lists the same sequence under 1 other name. Lineage: Bacteria; Pseudomonadati; Pseudomonadota; Betaproteobacteria; Burkholderiales; Comamonadaceae.